AACGAACGCUGGCGGCAUGCCUAACACAUGCAAGUCGAACGAGACCUUCGGGUCUAGUGGCGCACGGGUGCGUAACGCGUGGGAAUCUGCCCUUGGGUUCGGAAUAACUUCGGGAAACUGAAGCUAAUACCGGAUGAUGACGUAAGUCCAAAGAUUUAUCGCCCAAGGAUGAGCCCGCGUAGGAUUAGCUAGUUGGUGAGGUAAAGGCUCACCAAGGCGACGAUCCUUAGCUGGUCUGAGAGGAUGAUCAGCCACACUGGGACUGAGACACGGCCCAGACUCCUACGGGAGGCAGCAGUGGGGAAUAUUGGACAAUGGGCGAAAGCCUGAUCCAGCAAUGCCGCGUGAGGGAAGAAUGCCUAUGGGUUGUAAACCUCUUUUUCAGGGAGGAAUCAAAUGACGUGUACCUGAAGAAUAAG
Molecule: ribosomal RNA, 419 nt
Filed under: uncultured bacterium
Lineage: Bacteria
Description: bacterial SSU rRNA
Rfam family: Bacterial small subunit ribosomal RNA
Source: RNAcentral